UCCCUGGUGGUCCAGUGGUUAAGAAUCUGCCUGCCAAGGCAGGGGAUACAGGUUGGAUUCCUGAUCAGGGAA
Molecule: transfer RNA, 72 nt
Filed under: Bos taurus (domestic cattle)
Lineage: Eukaryota; Metazoa; Chordata; Mammalia; Artiodactyla; Bovidae
Also listed under: 2 other names
Rfam family: tRNA
About the family: Transfer RNA (tRNA) molecules are approximately 80 nucleotides in length. Their secondary structure includes four short double-helical elements and three loops (D, anti-codon, and T loops).
Source: Rfam by way of RNAcentral